UUGCUUCAGUAGCACAUGCACUAAAAUUAGAACAAUAUAGAGAGAUUAGCUUGCCCCUGUGCAAGGAUGAUGCACAAAUUCAUGAAAAUCUGAUGGUGUCC
Molecule: small nuclear RNA, 101 nt
Filed under: Dasypus novemcinctus (nine-banded armadillo)
Lineage: Eukaryota; Metazoa; Chordata; Mammalia; Cingulata; Dasypodidae
Source: RNAcentral